Molecule: microRNA precursor, 68 nt
Filed under: Bombyx mori (domestic silkworm)
Lineage: Eukaryota; Metazoa; Arthropoda; Insecta; Lepidoptera; Bombycidae
Description: mir-2774 microRNA precursor family
Rfam family: mir-2774 microRNA precursor family
Source: Rfam by way of RNAcentral
ACAACAUUCGGACCGUCGGUCUUCCGAGCAAAUAUCACCCGCUCGGUGGAAGAUCUUCCCUUUGUGGU